RNAcentral lists this ribosomal RNA (492 nucleotides) under uncultured bacterium. Its description in RNAcentral is "partial 16S ribosomal RNA". It matches the Rfam family "Bacterial small subunit ribosomal RNA", at positions 29 to 507 of the family's 1533-position model. The record is from RNAcentral.
AGUGAACGCUGGCGGUAGGCCUAACACAUGCAAGUCGAACGGCAGCACAGUAAGAGCUUGCUCUUACGGGUGGCGAGUGGCGGACGGGUGAGGAAUACAUCGGAAUCUACUUUUUCGUGGGGGAUAACGUAGGGAAACUUACGAUAAUACCGCAUACGACCUACGGGUGAAAGCAGGGGAUCUUCGGACCUUGCGCGAUUGAAUGAGCCGAUGUCGGAUUAGCUAGUUGGCGGGGUAAAGGCCCACCAAGGCGACGAUCCGUAGCUGGUCUGAGAGGAUGAUCAGCCACACUGGAACUGAGACACGGUCCAGACUCCUACGGGAGGCAGCAGUGGGGAAUAUUGGACAAUGGGCGCAAGCCUGAUCCAGCCAUACCGCGUGUGUGAAGAAGGCCUUCGGGUUGUAAUGCCCUUUUGUUGGGAAAGAAAAGCAGCAGGUUAAUACCCCGCUGUUCUGACGGUACCCAAAGAAUAAGCACCGGCUAACUUCGUG